RNAcentral lists this long non-coding RNA (524 nucleotides) under Equus caballus (horse). RNAcentral's name for it is "lncRNA (ENSECAG00000056408.1)". The record is from RNAcentral. Lineage: Eukaryota; Metazoa; Chordata; Mammalia; Perissodactyla; Equidae.
GAGGCAAGAACUGACGAGAGACACAGGGGUAGUAGGAUUUCUGGGCACUGUCGCGGGCCCAGUUGAGGGUGGAGACUGUGACUUCACGGUGACCCAGCCUGCUUAGCAUUAUGGAAAGUCCACAGCAAGGCCACGGGCAUGGGCUGGAGUGGAGGAGAGGCCCCGAGGAUGGGAGCCCAGGAUCCAGAGGGUCCUGUCACCUAUAGUUUCCCCUGCUAGUUCACCUUGGCUAUCCAGAGAAACUCGAGGAGGUGGAAGAAGCCUGGGCCUUAAUGUGGUGACCACAGGAACUCAGCACAGAUGCUGCUCUCAAAGCCCUCCCACUCUGUCUCACAGUGUUUCCCACAUGCCUGACCUAGUCAGAGGAGGAAGGGGCUGAGCUCUGACUGGGGCAUGUAGAGGCGCAGACAGCUUCUGAAAGGUAACCAGAGCCUUCUGCAGGCAGCAGGAUUUGUGAGGCUGCAGUUGGAGGGAGAGGUUGAGCUGUGAUGGAGCAACAGAAUGAGAGGAUCAGGAGACCGAGG